This is a long non-coding RNA of Pan troglodytes (chimpanzee), 336 nucleotides long. RefSeq lists it as uncharacterized. The record is from RefSeq and is a predicted model, not a curated record. The transcript has 3 exons. NCBI's taxonomy places the organism in Eukaryota, Metazoa, Chordata, Mammalia, Primates, Hominidae.
GAGGAGCGUCUCUGCCCUGUCGCCCGUCGUCUGAGAUGUGGGGAGCGCCUCUGCCCCGCGGCCCCGUCUGGGAUGUGAGGAGUGCCUCUGCCCCGGCUGUGACCCCGUCUGGGAACUGAGGAGUGUCUCUGCCAGACCGCCACCCCGUCUGGGAGGAGUCUAUAAAGCAUCAACUCAAAGUGACAAGAAGUGGAUACAUAUUCUAAGAGAGCUCCCCAGGACAAAAGGAAGAUGGAGGAAAUGGUCUCUGAAGGCUCAAAGCAGCUCCCCCUGCCCCGUGUAAAGCGCUGAUGAGAUGGCAAUUUAAACUGCUUUGAUGACCAGGUUUCAUUAGGU